UACGUAGGGGGCGAGCGUUAUCCGGAUUUACUGGGCGUAAAGCGCGUUAAGGCGGUUGGCAAAGUUGGUGGUGAAAUCUCAGGGCUCAACCCUGAAACUGCCUCCAAUACUGGUCGACUAGAGUGCGAGAGAGGAAGGUGGAAUUCCCGGUGUAGUAGUGAAAUGCGUAGAUAUCAGGAGGAAUACCGAUGGCGAAGGCAGGUCUCUGGGCUGACACUGACGCUCAUGCACGAAAGCGUGGGGAGCAAACAGG
RNAcentral lists this ribosomal RNA (253 nucleotides) under uncultured bacterium. Its description in RNAcentral is "partial 16S ribosomal RNA". It matches the Rfam family "Bacterial small subunit ribosomal RNA", at positions 524 to 776 of the family's 1533-position model. The record is from RNAcentral.